This 406-nucleotide ribosomal RNA is filed under the name uncultured bacterium. Its description in RNAcentral is "partial 16S ribosomal RNA". It matches the Rfam family "Bacterial small subunit ribosomal RNA", at positions 30 to 526 of the family's 1533-position model. The record is from RNAcentral.
AUUGAACGCUGGCGGCAGGCCUAAAACAUGCAAGUCGAGCGAGCGGCGGACGGGUGAGUAAUGUAUGGGGAUCUGCCCGAUAGGGGGGGAUAACUAAUGGAAAAGGUGGCUAAUACCGCAUACUAUCGGAUGAACACAUAUGGGAUUAGCUAGGAGGUGGGGUAAAGGCUCACCUAGGAGGAGAUCUCUAGCUGUUCUUAGCGGAUGAUCAGCCACACUGGGACUGAGACACGGCCCAUACUCCUACGGGAGGCAGCAGUGGGGAAUAUUGAACAAUGGGCGAAAGCCUGAUGCAGCCAUGCCGCGUGUAUGAAUAAGGCCUUAGGGUUGGAAAGUACUUGCAGCGGGGAGGCGUUACCCGCAGAAGAAGCACCGGCGAACGCCGUGCCAGCAGCCGCGUUAAUUC